GCUCGGCCCCGCGGGGGAAGGUGCCAAGUUUCUCCCUGACAUAGUGAUUCCAGCAGCCUGUCCGCCCCGAUCCUCGUGUCGCGGCCACUGCUCUGCCCCUGGGGAGUUUGAUAUUGAUAUUUAGUUGGCAUCUAACCAGAUCACCGCUACUAUACAGUUUAUGUGGAGACCGAGGCACUGAUCUUCAAACUGGAGCCUUUCCAGACAUCAGGACCUUUCUGCAAGCAGAAGCCCCAUCUUUAAAGAAUACAUUCCUCAGACUGAAAAAGGGACUACACUGAUCUGAUGAGCAGACCUCACUGCAGAAUGUGCCGCUCUCAGUUUUGAUAUCAAACACAGCCUGUGCUAUGCAGACAAGCUGCUGACGGGUGACUGGUCAGCCAGAAUUCUCGCUUUCUCUGAAUGCUCCUACAUUCCAAGCCAGCCUGGGCAAAACAUUACAAUUUAUAUUUGGAAGUACGCAAAAUAAUUAUUUGUUCAGCCUUUGAGUCCAGAUUGGUCAGCACAAUUUUGUGAAAAUCCAUGUGUUCAGUCUUUAUUGUGUGCCAAGAAUGAACUGCCUAUAAAAGAGAAUGACAUAACACUUAAAGCAAGUUACUGAUGUGUUUAGAGAACUGUCAUGUUCUAGCUGAAAUCUCAAACGUUUAUUAAUUGGACAACAAGCCUUACACAGUGUGAUACUUAAACACAUGAAGUCUGGCUCUCUCUUAUUGCUGGAGACGUAAAAUGAAGGAAAUCAGUGGAUGCUUUGGAGCAAGUUCUAGGCACAUUGCAGCCAUUAAUCAAGAAAGGACUUCUGAAGGCAUGUGGAAAAUAUUGAAGAAUGUCAGGAAAAACAAAAGAAAGGACAAAACAAAAGAACAAAAAAAGGAGGGAUGUGGAAGAUAUUUUACAUCCUUGCCAUUCAGUUAAAAGACACUUAAGCAGCAUGUGUUAUGCUGGAUUACGUGAAGAAACAUUGUCUUCUAUCAGUUGCCACUGGGUAAAUUAAACCUACAAUGAAGAGCUUAGAAUAAACACUGAGAUUUUGAAAUCAAACAGAACAUGUUCAUUGCAAAUAAUCAUUUUGCAAAAGGUCCACUGUGUAUGGACCUUUAAGUGGAAGAAAGAAUAUUCUUCUUUCUAGUACCCACCAUUAUUCAGCAGCAUAGAGACAAAUUAAGUAUGCUCUAAGUGGCAGGGUUCAUUGCAGUACCAGCCAAAGCCUAAGAAGUUGCAGCUAUGUUACAUGGCAGACCCCAGCCUCGGCUUGUGCUGAGUUCCAGUCUCAGCAAGAACUUGGCCUCAUAAGGUGUACUGUUACAGGCAGAUCCAUCACACCCUGCUGUUCACUAAUUUGCAGCUGGAGCAGGUAAUUUCAUACGCUUGCCCUCUGGCAUCGAUCAUCACACCUCUGCCAUUCCAUCACAGCUAUUUACUACCAACUGGACUUGUUCAGCUGCUGCCCCAGCUGUCUGGCUUCAAACACCCAGCAUGUGAAACAAAAACCCAGCUCUGUCACAGAGCAUAUUAUUUUCUCUGGAGAUGUGGCUGAACAAGGAUUCAGCAAAGCCCAUGGCAAUCCCCAGGCUGCGGCUGCCACCUCCCGGGCUCCUCGGGUAACCACUCCUGCCAGCCAUCCUGCUGAGCAGGCAGAAUUGUCUGAACAACUCAGUGAUGCCUUUUGGAGUGUUCUUCCACUUUGGAGUAAUUAGAUUUAUGUUCACCUAUUAACUUUCCCUCGUGGCCAAGUUAGUAGCUUGUGGAGAUCCUCCUUAUGCUCAUCUACACUUCCUUAUCAAUUGAAAUUUAUUGCAAGGACUUUUAAAAGGUGAAAAUUGAAACAGGUGUCACCCUAUGACAGUGAACCGAUAAAGAACCAUAGAAACACAAGUCCACAGAAUUUUUUAUUAAAAUAACACCAAGAAAUUGAUGCAGUGCAAUGACAUUUUAACUCAUCUUAGAAAAAAAAAAAAA
This is a long non-coding RNA of Coturnix japonica (Japanese quail), 1956 nucleotides long. RefSeq lists it as uncharacterized. The record is from RefSeq and is a predicted model, not a curated record. NCBI's taxonomy places the organism in Eukaryota, Metazoa, Chordata, Aves, Galliformes, Phasianidae.